ACCUACGGGGGGCAGCAGUGGGGAAUAUUGCACAAUGGGGGAAACCCUGAUGCAGCGACGCCGCGUGGGCGAGGAAGUACCUCGGUAUGUAAAGCCCUAUCAGCAGGGAAGAAACAGGACAGUACCUGACUAAGAAGCCCCGGCUAACUACGUGCCAGCAGCCGCGGUAAUACGUAGGGAGCAAGCGUUAUCCGGAUUUAUUGGGUGUAAAGGGUGCGUAGACGGGAAAACAAGUUGGUUGUGAAAUCCCUCGGCUUAACUGAGGAACUGCAACCAAAACUAUUUUUCUUGAGUGCUG
Molecule: ribosomal RNA, 298 nt
Filed under: uncultured bacterium
Lineage: Bacteria
Description: partial 16S ribosomal RNA
Rfam family: Bacterial small subunit ribosomal RNA
Source: RNAcentral